AGCUCCAAUAGCGUAUAUUAAAGUUAUUGCGGUUAAAAAGCUUGUAGUUGGAUCUCAGUUCCGGACCGACGAUACGCCGCCCGGCGUCUACUGUCGGCUUCUGAACGCUAAAGCACGUCGGCUUGGUCGGGGUGAUCUUCAUCGAGUGUCCCGGGCGGCCGGCAUGUUUACUUUGAAAAAAUUAGAGUGCUCAGAGCAGGCCAAGGCGCCUGAAUACUUGUGCAUGGAAUAAUGGAAUAGGACCUCGGUUCUAUUUUGUUGGUUUUAAGAGCCCAAGGUAUUGAUUAAUAGGAACAGACGGGGGCAUUUGUAUUGCGACGUUAGAGGUGAAAUUCUUGGAUCGUCGCAAGACGACCUACUGCGAAAGCAUUUGCCAAGAAUGUUUUCA
This 388-nucleotide ribosomal RNA is filed under the name uncultured eukaryote. RNAcentral's name for it is "SSU rRNA". It matches the Rfam family "Eukaryotic small subunit ribosomal RNA", at positions 587 to 972 of the family's 1831-position model. The record is from RNAcentral.